AUGCUGUGUCUGAAGAUUGUUAAAGUCGUGACCCAGACAGCCCUCCGCAUUCUCCUACCAGCGCUGGCUCGUAUCAUGGGGGUGAACCUGAGGAGUGGGGCAACCUCCCCAGAAUCCCAGUGCUCUCUGACAGGGUCUGAGGAUUCCUUAGGCAGUCUGGAUGAGAGAGAGAAAAGGCUGCUGAUCAGUGAGAUGAACUACUGGACUAAGGAGAGGAGGAGGAAUGGCAGUGCAGGAUGCCGCCAAAAAUCCACUCGCAGAACCUCAUCACCAUGCUGUUCGCCUAAGAGCGUUCCAAGAGAGGAAACAAAAAUGACUGCCAUUCAGUCCAGGACCAGACUGAGAUUCCCUCUACUGAUGGACAUUGCAUAGGUAAGGAUGUUUUAGAGCUCUGCUAUAGCUUGUAGUUUUGUUUAGGUGUGUGUUAGAAACAUAGGAAUGCCUACCAAACUCAUAGCACUGUUAUUUUUCAACGUUACUAUACUGCAUCUCUCUCUUUCUCUCUCUCUCUCUCUUACCCCAUCCAUUUCUCUUGUGUUUCUAGCUCCAGUUGGAGAGGUUUCUCCCUCCAUAUCUCAGCGUGUCAAAAAACGAUCCUUGAUUGUCAGGGUCUUUUCAGCAAUGAUGAAGCCAUUCAGGCGCUUCACCAAGAAGAACCUGUAACCUGUUACGCUGCAUGAAGAACUACUUAUUCACCAGUAUCUUUACCUGCACAUGACCAGCUGAUCAUUUAUCACUCCAGUGUUAAUCUGCUAAGUUGUAAUUAUUCGCCUACCUCCUCAUGCCUUUUGCACACAAUGUAGAUAGACUCUUUUUUUCUUUUUUUUCUACUGUGUUAUUGACUUGUUUAUUGUUUACUCCAUGUGUAACUCUGUGUUGUUGUCUGUUCACACUGCUAUGCUUUAUCUUGGCCAGGUCGCAGUUGUAAAUGAGAACUUGUUCUCAACUAGCCUACCUGGUUAAAUAAAGGUGAAAUAAAAAUAAAAAUCAGGCACUUUUUUUCAGAAAACCGAUGGCAGCGUCUAUCAUUGCUCUUCUACCAUCUAUCCCAUGUCUGCACCUCCCUCUUCCAUCAAAAACAAAUUACCUGGUUAAAGUUAGUUAGGCUAGGGGUUAGGGUUAAGGUUAGAGUUAAGUUUAGGAGUUAGGUUAAAGGGUUAAGGUUAGAGUUAGGGGAAGGGUUAGCUAUAAGGGUUAGGGGAAGGGUUAGCUAACAUGCUAAGUAGUUACAAAGUAGCUAAAAAGUGGUAAGGAGUUGAAAGUUUGCUAAUUAGCUAAAGUUGUCUGUGAUGAGAUUCAAAAUCAUAACCUUUGGAUCGUUAGACAUCCGUGUUAUACUGUAUGCCCACCCCUCCACCCUGACCAACCACCCUACUUUCGUUUUUGCCUUAAAUAACCAUUUGUCUUAUAUAACCAUACCAAACAUAACAUAUUAUACUAAUUUGAGUGUCCCGGAUUUACAUUUACUAUGUUAUGUCUAGUCUAUGAGAUCAGGCUGAUCACAGGCAUGAACAGAGUAACAGGUCAUUGUAGUUAUGAGUGUGAGUGUUAGAGAGGGAUUUGAGGAUUUCACUGUGGGUCAAUGCAGAGCUAAGCAUGAAGGAUUUUUGUGGCAUGACAUAAAACCAGAAACCACAGCACAGAGGAAACCUCUGAGGGUCAUAAUGGCUGGUCCCAUUAAACCUGGGGGAGGAGUUUGAGCAGACCUCAGAGGACAGGAGCUGACAUGGUGUUAAGGACAGUAGAUGAAUCACCGCACUUUUUUGCUCUUGUUCCCUGUGUGUGUGUGUGUGUGUGUGUGUGUGUGUGUGUGUGUGUGUGUGUGUGUGUGUGUGUGUGUGUGUGUGUGUGUGUGUGUGUGUGUGUGUGUGUGUGUGUGUGUGUGUCUUGACAGAGGUAGAACGUGAUGAAAUACAGAAUUGUGCGUUCGUUUGUUGUAGCUUUUUAUUGUUGUAUUAGAUCAUUUUCAUCCCUAACUUUUUAAGAAUGAGGCAAGAUGAAGUCAAAUUUCUCAAACAAGAAACAUGGUUGACUGUUUCCCUUCAGUCGAUUUCUCAUUCUCUUGUAAAAUAGCAAU
Long non-coding RNA from Oncorhynchus mykiss (rainbow trout), 2077 nucleotides. The record is from Ensembl. NCBI's taxonomy places the organism in Eukaryota, Metazoa, Chordata, Actinopteri, Salmoniformes, Salmonidae.